RNAcentral lists this unclassified non-coding RNA (349 nucleotides) under soil metagenome. RNAcentral's name for it is "partial contains 5.8S ribosomal RNA, internal transcribed spacer 2, and large subunit ribosomal RNA". The stretch from base 3 to 121 matches the Rfam family "5.8S ribosomal RNA", at positions 36 to 154 of the family's 154-position model. The record is from RNAcentral.
GAAUGAAGAACGUAGCGAAAUGCGAUAAGUAAUGUGAAUUGCAGAAUUCAGUGAAUCAUCGAAUCUUUGAACGCACAUUGCGCCCGCCAGUAUUCUGGCGGGCAUGCCUGUCUGAGCGUCAUUUCAACCCUCAUGCCCCUAGGGCGUGGUGUUGGGGAUCGGCCAAAGCCCGCGAGGGACGGCCGGCCCCUAAAUCUAGUGGCGGACCCGUCGUGGCCUCCUCUGCGAAGUAGUGAUAUUCCGCAUCGGAGAGCGACGAGCCCCUGCCGUUAAACCCCCAACUUUCCAAGGUUGACCUCAGAUCAGGUAGGAAUACCCGCUGAACUUAAGCAUAUCAAUAAGCGGAGGA